AUCCCAGACUCCUACGGGAGGCAGCAGUGGGGAAUAUUGCACAAUGGGGGAAACCCUGAUGCAGCGACGCCGCGUGAGCGAUGAAGUAUUUCGGUAUGUAAAGCUCUAUCAGCAGGGAAGAAGAUGACGGUACCUGACUAAGAAGCCCUGGCUAACUACGUGCCAGCAGCCGCGGGAAUACGUAGGGGGCAAGCGUUAUCCGGAUUUACUGGGUGUAAAGGGAGCGUAGACGGCGAUGCAAGCCAGAUGUGAAAGCCCGGGGCUCAACCCCGGGACUGCAUUUGGAACUGUGUGGCUGGAGUGUCGGAGAGGCAGGCGGAAUUCCUGGUGUAGCGGUGAAAUGCGUAGAUAUCAGGAGGAACACCGGUGGCGAAGGCGGCCUGCUGGACUGCAACUGACGUUGAGGCCCGAAAGCGUGGGGAGCAAACAGGAUUAGAUACCCCUGUAU
This 448-nucleotide ribosomal RNA is filed under the name uncultured bacterium. RNAcentral describes it as "bacterial SSU rRNA". It matches the Rfam family "Bacterial small subunit ribosomal RNA", at positions 328 to 793 of the family's 1533-position model. The record is from RNAcentral.